RNAcentral lists this unclassified non-coding RNA (373 nucleotides) under uncultured Sordariomycetes. Its description in RNAcentral is "sequence contains ITS2". The stretch from base 1 to 154 matches the Rfam family "5.8S ribosomal RNA". Lineage: Eukaryota; Fungi; Ascomycota; Sordariomycetes. The record is from RNAcentral.
AACUUUUAGCAAUGGAUCACUUGGUUCUGGCAUCGAUGAAGAACGCAGCGAAACGCGAUAAGUAAUGUGAAUUGCAGAAUUCAGUGAAUCAUCGAAUCUUUGAACGCACAUUGCGCCCGCCAGCAUUCUGGCGGGCAUGCCUGUUCGAGCGUCAUUUCAACCCUCAAGCACUGCUUGGUGUUGGAGCUCGUACGGCCUCGCGGCCGUACGCUCCGAAAAUUAGUGGCGGACUCUCCGAGACUCCGGGCGCAGUAGAGAUGCGACGCCCUGGAAGCUAGGUGAGCUCUGGCCGUUAAACUCCAUAUUUUACAAGGUUGACCUCGGAUCAGGUAGGAAUACCCGCUGAACUUAAGCAUAUCAAUAAGCGGAGGCU